RNAcentral lists this ribosomal RNA (301 nucleotides) under uncultured bacterium. RNAcentral describes it as "partial 16S ribosomal RNA". It matches the Rfam family "Bacterial small subunit ribosomal RNA", at positions 509 to 807 of the family's 1533-position model. The record is from RNAcentral.
CAGUCGCCACGGUAAUACGGAGGGAGCUAGCGUUGUUCGGAAUUACUGGGCGUAAAGCGCACGUAGGCGGUUAUUCAAGUCAGAGGUGAAAGCCCGGGGCUCAACCCCGGAACUGCCUUUGAAACUAGAUGACUGGAAUCUUGGAGAGGUCAGUGGAAUUCCGAGUGUAGAGGUGAAAUUCGUAGAUAUUCGGAAGAACACCAGUGGCGAAGGCGACUGACUGGACAAGUAUUGACGCUGAGGUGCGAAAGCGUGGGGAGCAAACAGGAUUAGAUACCCCAGUAGUCCCUGUCUCUUAUAC